GUGCUCACUUUGGCAGCAUAUAUACUAAAACUGGAACCAUACAGAGAAGAUUAGCAUGGCUCCUGUGCAAGAAUGACAUACAAAUUCAUGAAGCUUUUAAUAUUUUU
This is a small nuclear RNA of Sciurus carolinensis (gray squirrel), 107 nucleotides long. NCBI's taxonomy places the organism in Eukaryota, Metazoa, Chordata, Mammalia, Rodentia, Sciuridae. The record is from RefSeq and is a predicted model, not a curated record.